CAGGCUUUCAGGGGGCUCUGUGGGGGCCCUGCUUUCCUCACACUGAGCAAGUGCCCAUCACCGCCUGUCAGGAGCACUGCCCUGGAGAACCAGGAGCCUUCCCACCAGGAGCAGUCUUUCAGGAGGAAACAUUUGGGCACGUUUUUUGUGCCCUUCAGGUGUGCUCAGCAUAUUCUGGAAUUAGAAGAAUUCCUUCUGGGCAGGAAGGCUGCCCCUCAAGGACACCCAUCUCUGUUUAUCUCCUGAGUUCCUGCAGAAGCUGGAAUUGUCUCCAUCAGCAGGCACCUCUCGUGGUCUGGGGAAGCUCUGUGAGAAGCAAGGAUGUGAGUGAAACAAGUGGAAUAUUCCAGCUUGAUACCUGGAAUUAAAUGUAGCUGUGGCUGUGUGUAGUUGUGUAGUUGUGGCCAGCGUGGGGAGGUGUGGUGCUGGAAAUAAAUAACUGCCUGUGAGA
Long non-coding RNA from Vidua chalybeata, 451 nucleotides. RefSeq lists it as uncharacterized. NCBI's taxonomy places the organism in Eukaryota, Metazoa, Chordata, Aves, Passeriformes, Viduidae. The record is from RefSeq and is a predicted model, not a curated record. The transcript is spliced from 3 exons.